GCAAGUCGAACGAGAAAGUUUUCUUCGGAAAACGAGUACAGUGGCGCACGGGUGAGUAACGCGUGAAUAAUCUACCCCUGAAUUUGGGAUAACAGUUCGAAAGGGCUGCUAAUACCGGAUGACAUAACCCUUACCACGGUUUGGGUUAUCAAAGAGGGCCUCUCCUUGGAAGCUCUUGUUUGGGGAUGAGUUCGCGUACCAUUAGCUUGUUGGUGGGGUAACGGCCUACCGUGGCAACGAUGAAUAGCAGGCCUGAGAGGGUGGCC
Molecule: ribosomal RNA, 266 nt
Filed under: uncultured bacterium
Lineage: Bacteria
Description: partial 16S ribosomal RNA
Rfam family: Bacterial small subunit ribosomal RNA
Source: RNAcentral